RNAcentral lists this ribosomal RNA (2900 nucleotides) under Holdemania filiformis. RNAcentral's name for it is "23S ribosomal RNA". It matches the Rfam family "Bacterial large subunit ribosomal RNA". The record is from RNAcentral. Lineage: Bacteria; Bacillati; Bacillota; Erysipelotrichia; Erysipelotrichales; Erysipelotrichaceae.
UGAUUAAAUGAAUAAGGGCGUAUGGUGGAUGCCUAGGCAUGUAGAGCAGAAGAAGGACGCAGCUAACGGCGAAACGCGACGGGGAGUGGUAAGCACACAUCGAUCCGUCGGUCUCCGAAUGGGGAAACCCAGCGCGAGUAAUGUCGCGUUACCCAUGAGUGAAUACAUAGCUCAUGAGGAGAGAACCCAGGGAAUUGAAACAUCUUAGUACCUGGAGGAAAAGAAAAUAACAAUGAUUCCCUCAGUAGCGGCGAGCGAACGGGGAAGAGCCCAAACCAGCCUAAGGGCUGGGGUAGUAGGACCACGACGUGGUACAGUAACCGAUAGAAGAAGGACAUUGAAAGGUCCGCCAAAGAGGGUGCAAGCCCCGUAAUCGAAAUUGGGAGCUGACCUAGUGGAAUCCUGAGUACGGCGAGGCACGUGGAACCUUGUCGGAAGCAUCCGGGACCAUCCGGAAAGGCUAAAUACUCCUACAUGACCGAUAGUGAACCAGUACCGUGAGGGAAAGGUGAAAAGAACCGCGGGAGCGGAGUGAAAUAGAACCUGAAACCAUAUGCUUACAAGAAGACAGAGCCCGUUAAGGGGUGAUGUCGUGCCUUUUGUAGAAUGAACCGGCGAGUUAUCUUAUCGUGCGAGGUUAAGUGGAAGACACGGAGCCGAAGCGAAAGCGAGUCUGAAUAGGGCGGCAGUACGAUGAGAUAGACCCGAAGCCGUAGUGAUCUAGCCAUGACCAGGUUGAAGUUUGGGUGAAACCAAAUGGAGGACCGAACCGACCCCCGUUGAAAAGUUGGCGGAUGAGUUGUGGCUAGCGGAGAAAUUCCAAUCGAACACGGCGAUAGCUGGUUCUCCCCGAAAUAGCUUUAGGGCUAGCGUCGAAGUAAGGGUAGUGGAGGUAGAGCACUGAAUUCAUGAUGGCGCCGUCAAGGUGUACUGAAUGAAAUCAAACUCCGAAUGCCAUUAUUGAAUCUUCGGCAGUCAGACUGUGGGUGAUAAGGUCCAUGGUCAAAAGGGAAACAGCCCAGAUCAUCAGUUAAGGUCCCAAAAUUACCGCUAAGUGGAAAAGGAUGUGGGGAUGCACAGACAACUAGGAGGUUGGCUUAGAAGCAGCCACCCUUCAAAGAGUGCGUAACAGCUCACUAGUCGAGUGACCCUGCGCCGAAAAUUAACCGGGGCUAAGCGGUAUACCGAAACUAUGGCAAUGAUGUAAAUCAUUGGGUAGGGGAGCGUUCCAUGGGCGUUGAAGCUGUACCGUAAGGAGCAGUGGAGCGCAUGGAAGUGAGAAUGCCGGUGUGAGUAGCGAGAUGCAGGUGAGAAUCCUGCACACCGAUAGACCAAGGAUUCCAGGGGAAGGUUCGUCCGCCCUGGGUAAGUCGGGACCUAAGGCGAGGCUGAAAAGCGUAGUCGAUGGAAAACAGGUUGAUAUUCCUGUACCCGCGCAUCGAGUGAUGGAGUGACAAAGAAGGCUAACCGGACCGGUAAAUGGAUUCCGGACCAAGCGAGGUAGGAGGCAGUCAGGCAAAUCCGGCUGUCAAUCUGAAGGCGUGACGGGGAGUGAACAGCGCGAGCUAAGUAGCGAAGACGGCGAUGCCAGCUUUCAAGAAAAGCUUCUAGCGCUAAUCGAUGAGCGGCCCGUACCAAAACCGACACAGGUGGUCAAGGCGAGAAGCCUAAGGUGAGCGAGAGAACUGUUGCCAAGGAACUCGGCAAAAUAGCCCCGUACGUUCGCAAGAAGGGGCGCUCGAAAGAGCCGCAGUGAAGAGGCCCAAGCAACUGUUUAACUAAAACACAGCUCUCUGCAAAGUCGCAAGACGAAGUAUAGGGGGUGACGCCUGCCCGGUGCUGGAAGGUUAAGAGGAUAUGUUAGUCGCAAGACGAAGCAUUGAAUUGAAGCCCCAGUGAACGGCGGCCGUAACUAUAACGGUCCUAAGGUAGCGAAAUUCCUUGUCAGGUAAGUUCUGACCCGCACGAAAGGCGUAAUGAUUUGGGCGCUGUCUCGGCAGCAGACUCGGUGAAAUCUUAGUACCUGUGAAGAUGCAGGUUACCCGCAACUAGACGGAAAGACCCCAUGGAGCUUUACUGUAGCCUGAUAUUGAGUUUUGAUCAAGUAUGUACAGGAUAGGUGGGAGACGAAGAAGUUGGGACGUCAGUUUCAAUGGAGUCGACGUUGGGAUACCACUCUUAGUUGAUUGAAAUUCUAACCUGUAUCCAUGAGCUGGGUAAGGGACAGUGUCAGGUGGGCAGUUUGACUGGGGCGGUCGCCUCCUAAAGAGUAACGGAGGCGCCCAAAGGUACCCUCAGAUUGGUUGGAAAUCAAUCGACGAGCGCAAAUGCAGAAGGGUGCUUGACUGCAAGACAGACAAGUCGAGCAGGGACGAAAGUCGGGAUUAGUGAUCCGGCGGUGCAGAAUGGAAUGGCCGUCGCUUAACGGAUAAAAGCUACCCUGGGGAUAACAGGCUGAUCUCGCCCAAGAGUUCACAUCGACGGCGAGGUUUGGCACCUCGAUGUCGGCUCAUCGCAUCCUGGAGCUGAAUUCGGUUCCAAGGGUUGGGCUGUCCGCCCAUUAAAGCGGUACGCGAGCUGGGUUCAGAACGUCGUGAGACAGUUCGGUCCCUAUCUGUUGUGGGCGUAGGAAAUUUGAGGAGAGCUGUCCUUAGUACGAGAGGACCGGGAUGGACCCACCGCUGGUGCACCAGUUGUAUCGCCAGAUGCAUAGCUGGGUAGCUAAGUGGGGAACGGAUAAACGCUGAAGGCAUCUAAGCGUGAAACCGACUCCGAGAUGAGAUUUCCCAUUUCCAAGAGAAAGUAAGACCCCUUGAAGACGACGAGGUAGAUAGGUCAGAGAUGGAAGCACAGCGAUGUGUGGAGUUGACUGAUACUAAUCGGUCGAGGAUUUAAUCACA